GCUGGGUAAACAGUGUCACGAGUGCUUUCCACACAACAGAGUACAGGCAUCUCCGUCCUGUUGUGUAAACUGCAGAGUGGCAUGGCAGGAGGGACCAGGGCCUGGAGUGAGUCAGCUGACCGGGCUUUGAGUCUCAGGUCUCUGGGGAACAAUGGAGUGGCCCUGGACAUAUGUCUUUACCUGGGCCUAAGCUUUCUCAUUUUUACAAGGAAGGAUGUGGACUGGAUAACUCUGUGCACCCUCUUGACUCUAGUUCCUAUUUGAGAUGGAUAUUUUAUACAAGUAUCUCGGGGAAGAAUGUGAAUUGGAACCUCAUUUUGAAGGCACUGAGCCCCUGCCCCGAGGGGCACCCCACUGCUGAUAAAUUCUGUUAUCUUUGGCUACGUAAUUUGGGAACUAUCUUAAUGUGCAUGUGUGUGUGUUUUCUCCCUGCCUAGUCACAACUCAUCCAACACGUUACACCUGCCACCACCCUUCAUAGAUGAGGAAACCGGGGCGUGAUAGUUGACAAUGACAGACUUACUUAGUGAGGUUCCUUUGAGAGCUUUUGGAAGGUUUUCCCAGGCUUUCCUUAAUAAUGUUUUAAAUUCUUGGUUUUGAAGAUGUGAUGACUGUCUCGUUCCUCCCCUCACGUUUUUAGCUCAGGAGGCGACGUCACUGGUACGCAAUGUAUUUUUGUUGAGAGAAUGAUUUGCUUGCUUUAGAAAACGGCUAAUUGUUGGACUGUUUUACACAAAGGGGCAGUGACGCUAGAAGCAACGUAAACGACUUUCUCUGCUCACCCAACCAAAACCAAAACCCAAACCAGACGACCACACAGACACAUCGCACGGCUCCCCAGUCGUUUCUCCCUGUACUGGUCCAGUCAUGAUUCAAAGUACGAAGAGCGGCUAAACGUGUACCCUAAAGAGGCCAGCGGCGCCAUUUACAUAGUGUGACGUCAUGCAAACCAUGCUCGAGAGGAGGCGGCUUCACUGUGGCCACCUGGGGGGGAGAAAGGCCACGAGAAGCCCCAGCCCGGGCGGGGCUGCCACGCACAUGCACGCGUUUGACGCAGCCACUGGGGAUCUCACAGGUACGUGGCGGGUGUGAGAGCAAGCGAGCUAUACAAGGUCCGUCUACAUUACAAGGAGGAGCCAGCCCACGACCCCUUUUAAGUGGGCUUGUUGGAAGGGGUCCAUAUCGAAUCGGAAAUACCAUCCCCCGUGGAUGACAAAGGCAUGGAGCCACUGGGCGUGAAGGGGUCUGUGUCCGUGUCUGUCUCACCCUCGGCGAGGUACCGUUUCUCCCUCAUCCAGCUUGACCCCCCGCUCGGGCCAAACACAAAAUCGUCUCUGUCUUGGGAGAUGCUGAAGCCACUUGGAGAGCGUUCCAGCUCCUCGUGGUUGACAGACAUCAGGGACAGGGGGGUGUCACUGUCCCGGGUGAUGCUGCGUCUCUGCUGGGGGGAGACCCGGUCCGAGCAGGGGCUGUGCAGUUCAGCCUGGGAGUGGUAGCUCCCUCGGGAGUCGAGAAGAGUCAAGAUAGGCAGGACGGUGGGCCUUUCCGCAUAGGUGGUCGCCGAGGAGGAAAGGGUGGCGUGAACCUUUCCAGAACUGGGUGCCCCUCGGGACAGGUUCACGGGGUCGUGGGCAAAAACCCCGUAGGGGCCGGCCCUGUCAAUGGGCACCUGGUGGAUGCUGUAGGGAGCGCUGGGGGCGCCGGUCUCAGAGUCGUUACACAUGAUGGUUUUCAAAUCCGCUUCCCGGUGGUCCUCUCUCUUCUCUGCCUCAGCUGGCGAAGAGGUCCCCUUGGUCGGGCAGAAGUCGGUGACGUGCACCUGCAGCCGCUCCAUGUGCUGCAUAUGCAUGUCCACCAGGAAGUCCAGCUUCUUCCCCAUGUCGCGAACCUGGAAAACACAAGGAGCCGUGAAUCGCUGCCUUCUUCCCCACGUCGCGAACCUGGAAAACACAAGGAGCCGUGAAUCGCUGCUUUCUCCGGACCUGCGGGUAGUUUUACUGGUCGGGAGGAAAAACUAUAGCGUUUACUUCUCAGAAAGGAAGAGGGUUCUUGCAAGUCGUAAUCAUCAUAACAGCUAAUUAUUUUGUGCCUCUUGAUUUUGAGCCUUGCGCAUGGAUUCGUGCUAAUCUAAAAAAAAAAAAAACACACACAGGGCAAGGACUUCCCAGAAAGCCGGAAGCAGAGAGAUGGGUGGAGGACAAGUUUUACCCGAGGAGGAGGUGGCCUUGCUGCUGCGCUUGGGUCUAGGAGCGGGAGAUCUUGAUUUGCAAACAUCCCCUUACAGAAGCAUCUAGACUGUUUGUGUACAUUUCCCCUACCUGGUGAUGUAAGCCCCAAAGAUACAAGGGCAGUGGUUAGCAAGAAUUGAGCUCAGAACUGGAGACCCUGCCUAGGGGUCUUGGAGGCCAGGGGAAGAUACACUGAGAUAAGCUGCAUCUAUCUGUUCCUACCCACAAAAUUGAGAACGUAUCAAAAUCUUUGAGUGCACAGACACAAGUGUGCAUUCAUGUGUGCAUGGCAUGUUCUUUCCCUGACAGUUCAUAACUCACCAGGAAGCACUGCAGGCAGGUCUACCAUCCUCUCUUACAGAUGAAGACACAAAGCGUAGAACUAGGUCAUGGCUGAGUUGGUACCCAAGCCUUAACAAUAACUAAUACUUCUCUAGCAGUUAGUAUGCACUUUAAAGAUAUUAACUUAUUUAAUUUUCGUAACAGCCCUAUGAGGUGGAUACUAUUAUUCUCUCUAUUUUCCAGGUGAGGAAAUAGAGGCACAGAGAGAUGAAGUAACUCAUCAAACAUCACAGAGCAGGGACAUCUCAUGCUUACCGUGUUUACUGCAGGGAAGUGUGAAGUUUAACCAGCGGACUGCCAGGGAAGUCCUGAAGCUGAAUAUUAAGCUGCUCUUAGGAAGCUCUGUGUCAAGGUUAGUAACUGUGCCCAGAGUGUUUGAUUCCUUUAAAUUAUGUUCCUUGGCCUUUCCGUCUCGGACGACUGGUUGAGGAUGGAGUGGGGGAGGGGUUGUCUCAUCUCUGAAAUUCUACACAGUGGGGACCAAUAUUCCAAUAUUUCAUCUGUUUCAUUUAGUUAAGACUGGGAAACAGAUGUGAAAUCUGGAAAAUGAUGCAAAAGAUGCUAUUCGUAGGGAACAGGAUGGAGACGUGUGCUGCAUUUGCUCCUUGGCCAGGCACAGUUCAUAUCUGCCUAAAUUCCAGUUAGUUUCAAUAUUGCUCUACGUAGAAGAGACCUUUCAGGGCACUUAGCUAUUGCUUGAAACCAUUCAUGUCUGGCACUUUCUAGGCAGUUGGUUUUUCUCUCUAGGCUACUGACUCCUGCUAAGACCCUGGCCUGUCUUGGGCUGAGCAAUCUUGAAUUAAAGCACAUGUCAAAUACUGGUGGCCUGUGUGCUGAAUCCAAGCCCACCGGUGUUCUCCUUGGCUUGCACAGGGUUCUAAACAUUUAAGCCAUCUCAGAAAUGGGGAAUUGUACAUGAAAUCUGGAUAUGCAGCUUUUCUUGAGAAAUCAGACUCUCUGGAAACAGAGGAUCUUCAUUGGUAAAAUUAGCAACAGCAGAACAAAGUAACAAUUACCUCCUUGGGAUGGGGCACGUUCACCCCUUGCUAUUCUAUCCCCAGGACUGAGGCCAAAGAUUAGAUGCUGUAUAUUAUCCUCCUUACGUUCUCCCUUCUUUAAUAAGGAGCCUUAUUAUGAUAAGGUGCAUAACAUUUCUUAUGCCUACCUCCCGUCACUCAUGUUACCUGCCUUGAAGACACUGGGGAAUAAAGAAGUGUACACUUCUUUCACAGUGGACUUUCUAAAGCAGGCAUCCCCAACGCCCGGGCCACGGACCGCUACUGUUAGGAACCGGGCCGCACAGCAGGAGGUGAGCGGUGGGUUACAGCCGCUCCCCGUCGCUCGCAUUACCGCCUGAGCUCCGUCUCCGGUCAGUCUUACAGGGAAUGGCAACCUCACCCCACCGUGAAGAAGCCCAGCUGAGGUUUGGGGAAUGCUCUGUGGGCUUUGGCACCACACACACAGCCUGUCAGCCCAUGACCAUAGGCCCCACCUGGGAGAUUGCUGGGAUGGGUAGGUGAAUGCUUUCUGAGACUUCUUAUGUUUUGGAGUAGACGGAGGUCCAGGGGUGAAAAUCAUAUCUAUUCUGAAAGAGAGCACACAAAGAGAGGGGAUUAAAUUAAAAACAGCUUUACAUGAAAAGAGAAGAAAGCAAUUCAUUCUCUUCCUUCUGUAGUCAGCUGUGGGUUUGGAAUAUAAAGGAGAAGAGAAACAAGAGAGAGGAAGGGGGAAAGGGAAAGGAAGAGGUGACGAGAGAGAGAGAGAGAGAGAGAGAGACAGAGACAGAGACAGAGACAGAGACACAGAAAGAGAGUAAGAAUUUAUAAUCUCAAUGUAUCAUUAUCUUUUUUCGGUCCAGGGGUACCGGGAGCAUCUCUCUAUCCCAGGGGAGAGAGGCAGCCAAACCACUGAGACAGGGUGACAGUUGUGUCUUGUUAUUUCUUACAGGAAAUGUCAUGUGUGCUACAGCCUAUCUGGUCUUCCAGCUCUUUUAUUCCACCCAAAACACCUAGUUAGUUAGGGAGUUUUUCCUCCUAAACCCUAGCCUCUGUUUUCAGCUGUGCUCUCUUUUCUCUGCUGCUUUGCAGGCUUCUCCGACCAUUAGAGGGAUGAUCCAACACUGGCUCCCACACCUUGCUUCCAUUUCUGCUCAAGCCACUAGCUCCCUAUCUGCGCCACCCUGAGCACAACAGGAGACAAACGCCCCCCCACCCCCUCCCCUCAUCAAGUUGCACGGCUAGGGCAGGGGCCGGGUGUGGGAGCAGCCUUGAAGGCUUGUCACAGGCCUAGGACCGCUAAGACCACGCACCCAGAAGAAGCCAUGCCUCACUCUGUCUCUCUGCAAACCCAACCGCUCCUCCAGUGACCCCACCAUGUACUAAAUCACCCUUCCUUUCUCUCUGGCCUCCUGCAGUAUCAGCAUGGCUGGGGGCAUGUGAUUAGCCCACUUAGGCAGUCAACCUCCCGCUAAGACUCAGAAACUCCUGUGCCUGAUAAAUACCAAACAUGAUGACUGUGCAAAGGUCCACUCAAUGCACAUUAAGAGGGGCUGAUAUUUCUGGAGGCCGGUAUGUCCUAGACAUCAUGUUCCCUCCUUCCAUCUCUCAGAGAGACACAUUGCAUAAAUAACAGCACGUUAGGCUCAGAACUCGUUCACGUAUCCUUUUGCUCGGCAGCAUUGAGCACCGAUUGUGUGCCCGCCACUGUGCUGGGCUGUCACAGUUGGUAUUCCAUUUAUGGAUAAAGGAAGGUCACAAAUAAUAAGCAUUCUUCCAACCCAGCAGCAUCGUUAAUGGUCAACUCAUUCAACAUGAUGGUCCUAUUAACUCUGCAGGACAACCCAAUGGUGAAAUAUUCAGAUGAGAAAACUGAGGUCCAGAGAGGACCUGACUCAUGUCAAUCUGAAAUCUCACACAGGUCUGAGAAUGAGCCUCAGGGCUUUGGCUUCCUGAUGUCAGUUCUAUGACGUGACAUCAAAGUGUCCUUUAGUUGUUUUAAAUGAUUUUCUUUUUAAAAGGAUAUUUUUACAAUUCAUUGAAGAUUUGAUAAAUUUAAAAAGAAGAAAUAAAAUCACACAUGGACUCAUCACAUCAGUAGAGCUAUGGUAACCCCUUGGGGGAAGUCUUAUUUCUUUUCUUUAGGCUCCUGUAAGGGAGAGUGUGUAUGUGUUGUGUAUAUUUCCAAAUAAAUGUUACGUGUGUACAUUUUUGUAAUCACGGUAUAUAAAUAACAUAGUUAAUAUCAUCACAAGAUCUAGGUAGACUAUAUAUAAAUAUAAUCAUACAUAUGUCCAUAUAAGUAUCUAAGUACUAUAAGUAAUCAUAUUAUGCAUAUAUAUAUUCACUAAUCACAUAAAUUUUUAUCUCACUAUAUACAUUUUUAACAUGUCAUUUGAUGGCUGCAUAACUUUUUAAUGAGAGCAGGUACCAUUCUUUUCUUAAUCACUAUUUAUAGAUUUGAGGCAGUGUGGUAUGUUACAGAGAAUGGGAGUUUUGUAACCAGUUGGAUCUGGUUUGACUUCCAGCUCUGCCACCUACUAGCUGGGUAGUUUUGGGCAAAUCCAUCGUCCUAUGAGCUUCAGUUUCAUCACUGGUAAGAUGGCAGCUAUAAUGCAAUACUUAGGGGGUUAUAAGGGAUUAGAGACAUAAAUGUAGAGCACCAGGUGCCUAACAAAAAUGGAGGCAGUUACUGGGAAUUGGGAAUCAAUGCUGUUUCCAUAUUUUCACUAGUAUAAAUAACACUUGAUGAACUUUUAAUUGGGUGAAAAUUUAUAUUUAGAAUUAGUCAACUGGACUCAUUUUAGGUAAUCCCAAUUUUGUUGGCAACAUCCAAAGCAGCAUAGUCAGGGGCCAGUAGCACAGAUGCCUUUUUUCUCCCUGAGGCCUAAUCAGGGUGUUGAUCUUGGCUGUGUCAAUGUCAUAGAAAUUCUUCCCAGCCUGUCUGAUCUGGUGUUGGUUGGCCUUGACAUCCAUGUUUGAUGAAUAUGUUUGUUCUUAAAAUUUCUCCCCUGCACUGUGGAUUACUGAAUGCCUUUCACCCUCAGCACUAAGGUCUACCUGGCUCUGUUUAAUUCCUUAGCAGUCAGGAGAGCACCAUCCUUCCAGGUGUGCUGUCUUACCUCGUCUGAAGGUACUUUAUCCUGGAAAGCAUGUCAAGAUGUCCGGCGGAAUACUGCUCAAUCACAUCCUUCACGUCAUAAGGCCUCAAAGUCUCCUUGAAUUUUUUUUUAUAGAGACGGAAUUGUAGAAUUCUGCAAGGCAAAGUAGAGACAUUUGUACAUCAAGAGUGGACAGUAAAGGAAAUUAUGAUACAAGAUGAGCAAACUCUGGGGCGGAGGAGGAUAAAACAUCCAAAAAGAAACAACUUGAUGAGAAGUUUCAACUCUUGGUCCUGGUUCUACCUCUUGGAAACACACUGAAUGAGGCUGGCUGGCGUCUCUCCUUCAUGACUACCUCCUUUUACUCGUUUGAAUAAUAAAUUCAUAGUAACAA
Molecule: long non-coding RNA, 7060 nt
Organism: Globicephala melas (long-finned pilot whale)
Lineage: Eukaryota; Metazoa; Chordata; Mammalia; Artiodactyla; Delphinidae
Source: RefSeq, a predicted model, not a curated record